CUCAAAAAUAGAAAAUAAAAUUUAUUUACUGAAAAAGAAAAGCUUAACACAUGAUCCAUGUGCACAACCCACGUGAGAUCUACAAGCUCUGGCACAAUCCACAUCUCUACAUACACCACGCUGGAAACAUCCAGCAUGCACAUCGCGCACAGUCCCUCACGUCAGACUCACUCUGUGCUAGCUCUUCACUGCCGCGCAGCCUCACAUCCAUUAACAUGGCUUACAACACAGCCACCUGAUUUCACUGACCACCGAAAGAAAAUAGCUUUCCCUGCAUCACCUUGAUCUAAGCCAAAGAACAGCUAACAGCAGCCACUUCCCACCCUCAUUCCCAGCUCCCUCCCUCUGACCUCCUCUCAACAGGGAUGGCUCAGUGUACACAGGAAAGGGAGUCACCCAACAGGCUGGCGCUCAGGGCAAACAGCCUGGCGGCCUGCCGAGUAACCGCAUGAGGUACUGGCCAUGAUUUCAGACAAUCGGCCUCGCUCGCUUCCUUCCCCUAAUGGACUGACGUGUAAUGUACUCGGGGAAAAUUGAAUUCUAAGGCAGACUGAAAGCUGCCUCCUAAGCACCGCACCCUGCCACCCCUGCUGUCUGUCCCCUGGGGGAGGAAGCAGCAUUCUGAGGCCCGGGGUGACCCUGAGGCCUGCCCUAGUAGCUGACCAGCUACAGGAAAAAGAAAAAUAAGAUAAACAGACAAAAAACAACCCAAGCGCAGAGCCCUUGCUGUGAGCAGGGAAGAGGGUGCUGUAAACGGACAUACACUGCGAUUCUGCACUGUCAAGAAAGAUGAGGUGAACCCGUAGUGUUGGACACGGAUGAUAUUUGGUGACAGUUCCUAGGCAGAGUGAAGAGCAAAUGCCAGUCACGCUCCUCACAGGAAGCGGCCGCACUGAGGAGGGACAUGGCCCACCCAGGAGCAGCAUUUGGAGAAAGAACCAAGAAAGCUCUGAGAGAGCUACGUCUGGGCUCACGGGCACCUGAGGCUGCACAGGACACAGGACAGCAGGGCCCUGCGCUGUGCCUCCAGCAGUUCCAGGAACUCAGAGGCCUCCACCGAAGCACCAGGGACAGGACACGGGUCUGCCCCUUCACACCGAAAGCAACUCUCCGGGUGGCAACAGCAAGACGGCCAGGCCCACAGGUGGGACAGAGCUGACUGUUUCUGAGCGCACUGUGGUCACGUCUGAGCCUGAGUCGUGAGAGGGCGCCACCUCUACCUAUCCCAGCUGGGGCCCUGGUCACCUGAGCACCUGUUACAGACCCCCAACAGCAGAAAGGCUGGCCGCAGAGGCUCACCCUCCUGGGGGAGAACGAGUAUCCCAUGCUGACAGCUUCGGGCCUGACACACUGCCAGACAGGCCAGCACUCACCGUGGAGAGUCCACUCUCCCAACCCUCCACCUGGAGGGCAGCCCUGCUGGCUUUGGAACAGGAGAAAAAGAAAAAGCUGGGCUGCCAGGGUGAGCCACAGCCCUCACAAACUCGGAUGAAGCACACACAAAGCCCU
RNAcentral lists this long non-coding RNA (1509 nucleotides) under Heterocephalus glaber (naked mole-rat). Its description in RNAcentral is "lncRNA (ENSHGLG00100042232.1)". Lineage: Eukaryota; Metazoa; Chordata; Mammalia; Rodentia; Bathyergidae. The record is from RNAcentral.